CGUGGGAUGGCGCAGUUGGUAGCGCGCUUGGUUCAUACCCAAGAGGUCGUCGGUUCAAGUCCGGCUCCCGCAA
RNAcentral lists this transfer RNA (73 nucleotides) under Sphingobacteriales bacterium. It matches the Rfam family "tRNA". Rfam says of the family: Transfer RNA (tRNA) molecules are approximately 80 nucleotides in length. Their secondary structure includes four short double-helical elements and three loops (D, anti-codon, and T loops). Lineage: Bacteria; Pseudomonadati; Bacteroidota; Sphingobacteriia; Sphingobacteriales. The record is from Rfam by way of RNAcentral.